Brienomyrus brachyistius is the source of this 3906-nucleotide long non-coding RNA. RefSeq lists it as uncharacterized. Lineage: Eukaryota; Metazoa; Chordata; Actinopteri; Osteoglossiformes; Mormyridae. The transcript has 2 exons. The record is from RefSeq and is a predicted model, not a curated record.
CGACAGUAGGAGGCAGCAUUAUCUCUCGAAUGGUCAUUUCCAUUUAUUCGUCUGUAUGUUGGAAGAAGAAGAAGGAGGCACAUAAAGACGAUGACGAUGGUGAUGGGUGUCGUACACUUACACGAAUUCAACCCUUAUAGGAACCAUCAAAAUACAUGUUAAAUAUGAAAUGCAUGAUGUAUUAAAUAUUUGUAUUUAUCUACGUCAAUUUAGUAGCGUUUUUAAGUGUGAGGUAGGUAGUAGGUAUUCUGUUGGAAGCUGUACGAGGAUUUGAUUGGUAUGGUGAUAAUGGAAUGGCAGUUCUGCUUCGUCUGUAUACGACCGGGUACAGCUUUAUCUUUGCUAAUGAACAUUGGAGAGGCUGCAGAAUGCAUCUUACGCUUUCACUUUACGCGAUGCAUUGGGUUGACUGAGAUUUUUUUGCGGAUGACAAAUGAGUGCGAGUGACAAAGUAUUUAUAUAGUGAAAUAUAAAAAAUAUUUACACAACGUACAAGGAUUCUUUGGCUUGCUUCCUUCAGCCUAUAGAGCUCACAAGACAAAAAUUACAUCAAUAAAUAACACUGAUGAGCUAAAACUUGUUGCAGUUGAAUUAGUUCUGGUUAUGUAUAACAUUGCUAAAAGGUACUAAAUAUACUAAUGUGCAUAUUGUCACCUUUAGCUAUUAAUACACAUAUUAACACAUUCAGCUAACGAUCAAAAUGAAGGUGAGGAUCUGUGUUUUAGACCAGACUGCAUCGCACCCGUCUUUGCGUUGGUUUCAGUUGCGAGUGACUCGCAGCCCUAAGCCAGUCAGUUGUAAUGUCAUUACAGAUCAAGAGAUAGAUUUGCGAAGAUCAGCUCACUGAAAACGGGACUCGGUGGUUAGGUCACGGUGCACUUACCUAUGCAGGCAGGGUCUACUGAGUGGUAGUAUUUAAGUAUUGACAUGUUGGCUUUAAUGACCCCGUUUUAUGGGUAUUAGUGGUCGCUCUGUAGUUAGAUGAGCGUAAAAACAAUGUAAAGUUAUUUCGUUGGCUGUUCCUGUCUCCAGAGCUCAGCCCAGUCAAACAUCCCGGAGCUACACACAGGAGAAGUUCGCACUGAAGAAGGGUAUUGCAUCUCCUCGGUAUAGUUCUAGGCACUUCUGUAAUCCUUACUGGGGUACACUGGUGCUGCUGUAACCGCAACUGUCUGUCACUGGUGUUCCAUCAAAAAGUAGUAGCUAUUAAUAUGUAGGAAACUCAGUGGGGAAAAAAAUCAACCCUUUAACACUACUGGGGACAGAGUGAAGGAUUUACUGCCAAGAAAUGUGAGAAAUACCACUUGCUGAUGUUUUACCCUGUUUACCGUACCCGAUGUAGACAAAAUCCCCUAUGUGCCUGCAAUGUUAUUUGCAUUCUGUCCAGAAGGGGGCAGCAUCUCAUUGCUAUUAAGUGUAUAUGGUGAUUGAAGAAGAAUCAGUCAUGCGGUGUAUUUGUAGGAUUUGGGAAGCUAUCGUUGUGUGUGUGUGUGUAUAUAUAUAUAUAUAUCUCUAGAUGCCACUCAUAUAUUUUAUUUAUUUUGCCAUGUUUUACAGUCACAGGCCAUAAAACUGCCUUUUAUUGUGACAUGAACCCCAGAGUCUCACCAACUGUCCCUGUAAAGUUUAUGGGGAGCUAAGGUUGUGUAACUGCAAACAACUGAGACCAAUAUCCAAGAUUAACUAUACUGGGGAAUGUGUGCACACACACCCUUGAAAGGCUUAAUCUCACCACGUUACUCAAGGCUUGUGUUAGACCUCAUCUUAGAUUAUCAUCCUUACGCUGGUUACUCGCGGUGUUGAGUUUAUUUCCAUUAUUAGCUGACUCAUGAGCCCAGACAUGGCUUUUCAGCGUGCAAGUGCAUGUUUUCUUAAAGCAGUCUGGCUUUGUGUGAGUGUUUUUGUAGUUAUUGCAUUGUGGGGACCAGAUUGGGUGGGGGUUAGGGUUGUAAUAGUUGGGAUUAGGGUUAUGCCCAUAGAAAUCAAUGGAGAGUCCCCAUAAAGAUAUGAAUAUGUGAAUUCUCUCUUUCUGUGUGGGUGUGUGUGUGUGGUGUGUGUCUGUGUGUUUGCAUGGUGUGUGUCUAUUUUCAUGGUGUGUGUGUGGUGUGUGUCUCUAUGUUUGCAUGGUCUGUGUGUGUGCGUGGUGUCUGUGUGUUUGCGUGGUGUCUGUGUGUGUGCGUGUGUGUGUUUGCGUGGUGUCUGUGUGUGUGCGUGGUGUGUGUGUUUGCGUGGUGUCUGUGUGUGUGUGUGGUGUGUGUGUUUGCAUGGUGUCUGUGUGUGUGCGUGGUGUGUGUGUGCGUGGUGUGUGUGCGCGUGGUGUGUGUGUUUGCGUGGUGUCUGUGUGUGUGUGUGGUGUGUGUGUGCGUGGUGUGUGUGUUUGCGUGGUGUCUGUGUGUGUGCGUGGUGUGUGUGUGUGCGUGGUGUGUGUGUUUGCGUGGUGUGUGUGUGCGUGGUGUCUGUGUGUGUGUGUGGUGUGUGUGUUUGCGUGGUGUCUGUGUGUGUGCGUGGUGUGUGUGUGCGUGGUGUCUGUGUGUGUGCGUGUGUGUGUGUUGCUGACCUUGCAGAGGAGGGCACAGUCUCAGAGAGUGACCUGCACCCCACGUCCUCUAGCUCUCACACGCCCAAAGCCAGCCAGCAUUCCUCCCUCCCCGCUGCAGCUCCUCACCUGGCUGCCCUUAUCCCGCAGUACCGAAGCACACAGGAGGGAUUUCCAUGAGCUCCAGCUCUCAACAAGCCCAGAGAAAUGACAAGAUUUCAUGGAAUUCUUCUUCUCAGCAGCUCUAAGAACAUACCGCAAGAGCUUGAGCUAGCUAGACUGCAUGGUGGACCUGUCGUUUUCGAACUCAGAGAUGCUGCAAGAAUACAGCGUUUAAGUUGUAGUAGGGGACUGGGGGAGAGGUGCUUCACAGUUCUGGUUACCACAUAGCUGGCGCGGGUACACAGGUUGCCAUUGCAAAGCGCUGUGUGCCAUGUUGCCACGAACCGCUUCGUGGGGUAAGCAGAAGGCAGGUCUGCUCGCUGCCACACAUCCUCCGCCCUGGCAUAUUUACUCGCUUGAUGACCUGCUCACUGUUUGACUUGGCACGAGUCCCUCUCCUUUUCUAGCCUGAAUUGUUUGUCUGGGUCAUGCGACGACACCAAAAGACACACGCGCCUUAAUCAAAUCCCACGCACACGGUAAAAAUAGAACGAGUAAAAUCAGCUGGACAGGAUACAGGCUUACCAGUAAGCGAAGUUGCACUAUAAGUAAUAUGACCCUAACACUACUCUGCAAUUUUUACAGUUUUCUGCAGUUUCAUUUCUGUGACACUGUUACCAUGGGGUAACACGCAAAAUACACAUAGCCUCAGACAUGCAGAAAUAGAAUGGAAUCAAAAGAAAAAGGAGUCAUGCUUAGUCUGAACCAAACCUCAGAAUGAAUAAAAAUCCACCAGGGAUUCUUCAGAUGGGAUCUGAACCUGAGUAGCUUCUAUAAAAUAUAAAAAUUGGCAACUAAAGGUACCUCAAAGUAUUGACUUAUGUGUGAUUUUGAAGGCAUUUGUUAAUAUUCUUUAUUGAACAUCUACUGUAAUAUUCAUGUUGAAAACAAACAUAAAUGUGUUUAUCAAAAGUAUGUUUAGCAAUGAAAUUUAUGGACGAUACUGUCUAACCCAGGAAUGGCAGAAAAUAUUUCUGGGAUGGGGCAUUUUAGGGCAGACGGCUCUGCUACAUCUGUACGUUUGCGCUUUAUAGUGGAGUGCUGCUCUCUGUCAAACUCGGCAGCUGAGACUGCAGUGAGCUUUGAAUCUGUACGGAUGCCCAGUAGGAUGUACGAAAACACUAGUUUAAGGCCAGUGACGAGAGGUCCCACUUGUAUGUUGCUUUGGACAGAAGCAUCUGUCUGAUAAAUAAAUGUAAACAUAAAGA